GACGAACGCUGGCGGCGUGCUUAACACAUGCAAGUCGAACGGAAGGGCCCUGCUUUUGUGGGGUGCUCGAGUGGCGAACGGGUGAGUAACACGUGAGUAACCUGCCCUUGACUUUGGGAUAACUUCAGGAAACUGGGGCUAAUACCGGAUAGGAGCUCCUGCUGCAUGGUGGUGGUUGGAAAGUUUCGGCGGUUGGGGAUGGACUCGCGGCUUACCAGCUGGUUGGUGGGGUAGUUGCUUACCAAGGCUUUGACGGGUAGCCGGCCUGGGAGGGUGACCGGCCACAUUGGGACUGAGAUACGGCCCAGACUCCUACGGGAGGCAGCAGUGGGAAAUAUUACACAAUGGGCGGAAGCCUGAUGCAGCAACGCCGCGUGCGGGAUGACGGCUUUCGGGUUGUAAACCGCUUUCGCCGGUGACGAAGCGUGAGUGACGGUAAUGGGUAAAGAAGCACCGGCUAACUACGUG
Molecule: ribosomal RNA, 468 nt
Filed under: uncultured bacterium
Lineage: Bacteria
Description: partial 16S ribosomal RNA
Rfam family: Bacterial small subunit ribosomal RNA
Source: RNAcentral